RNAcentral lists this ribosomal RNA (492 nucleotides) under uncultured bacterium. RNAcentral's name for it is "partial 16S ribosomal RNA". It matches the Rfam family "Bacterial small subunit ribosomal RNA", at positions 29 to 507 of the family's 1533-position model. The record is from RNAcentral.
AGUGAACGCUGGCGGUAGGCCUAACACAUGCAAGUCGAACGGCAGCACAGUAAGAGCUUGCUCUUACGGGUGGCGAGUGGCGGACGGGUGAGGAAUACAUCGGAAUCUACUUUUUCGUGGGGGAUAACGUAGGGAAACUUACGCUAAUACCGCAUACGACCUACGGGUGAAAGCAGGGGAUCUUCGGACCUUUCGCGAUUGAAUGAGCCGAUGUCGGAUUAGCUAGUUGGCGGGGUAAAGGCCCACCAAGGCGACGAUCCGUAGCUGGUCUGAGAGGAUGAUCAGCCACACUGGAACUGAGACACGGUCCAGACUCCUACGGGAGGCAGCAGUGGGGAAUAUUGGGCAAUGGGCGAAAGCCUGAUCCAGCCAUACCGCGUGGGUGAAGAAGGCCUUCGGGUUGUAAAGCCCUUUUGUUGGGAAAGAAAAGCAGCAGGUUAAUACCCCGCUGUUCUGACGGUACCCAAAGAAUAAGCACCGGCUAACUUCGUG